RNAcentral lists this ribosomal RNA (119 nucleotides) under Chrysemys picta bellii (western painted turtle). The record is from RNAcentral. Lineage: Eukaryota; Metazoa; Chordata; Testudines; Emydidae.
GCCUACAGCCAUGCCAGACGGAGUACACCCUAGCUCAUCUGAUCUUGGAAGCGUAGCAGUCGUGGGCAUGGCUAGCACUUGGACCAAAGAACACCUGGGAACGCUGUGUGCUUUCAGCA